RNAcentral lists this ribosomal RNA (690 nucleotides) under uncultured crenarchaeote. RNAcentral's name for it is "bacterial SSU rRNA". It matches the Rfam family "Archaeal small subunit ribosomal RNA", at positions 50 to 715 of the family's 1478-position model. The record is from RNAcentral. Lineage: Archaea; Thermoproteati; Thermoproteota.
AAUGCUAGUCGAGCGCCUUCUAGCCAAAAGGAGGCGCGGCAUACAGCUNAGUAACACGUGGCUAACCUGCCCUUGGGAUAGGAAUACUCCCGGGAAACUGGGGCUAAUUCCCAAUAGGUGAAGAACUCUGGAAUGAGUCUCCGCCAGAAAGGACUCCUGCACUACGCUUGCAGGUUUCGCCCAAGGAUGGGGCCGCGACCGAUCAGGUUGUUGGUGAGGUAAUGGCUCACCAAGCCUUUUACCGGUGCGGGCCGUGGGAGCGGGAGCCCGGAGAUGGGCACUGAGACAAGGGCCCAGGCCCUACGGGGCGCAGCAGUCGCGAAAACUUUGCAAUACACGCAAGUGUGACAGGGCUAUCCCGAGUGCCAUCCGCUGAGGAAGGCUUUUACCCAGUCUAGAACGCUGGGGGAAUAAGGAGAGGGCAAGUCUGGUGUCAGCCGCCGCGGUAAUACCAGCUCUCCGAGUGGUGUGGAUGUUUAUUGGGCCUAAAGCAUCCGUAGCUGGCUAAGUUAGUCCCUUGUUAAAUCCACCGAAUUAAUCGUUGGAUUGCGGGGGAUACUGCUUGGCUAGGGGACGAGAGAGGCAGACGGUAUUUUUGGGGUAGGGGUGAAAUCCUAUAAUCCCAGGAAGACCACCAGUGGCNAAGGCUGUCUGCUAGAACGCGCCCGACGGUGAGGGAUGAAAGCUGGG